Molecule: long non-coding RNA, 822 nt
Organism: Capra hircus (goat)
Lineage: Eukaryota; Metazoa; Chordata; Mammalia; Artiodactyla; Bovidae
Source: Ensembl
UGAGGGUGGAGUGGGCCAGGUGAAGUCUGAUCCAGGAUGAAGUAAAAUCUAGCCUCUGCCCUCAGGAGCUCAAGAUACAGGACAGAGUAAAGAGAAUGCCAGAGAGUUUACCCAUCAGAGAAAGAAUCCUGUUUGAGAGGCUGUGGACAAUGGAGCAUUGGAGGUGAACUUUGAAGGACUGAUGGUAUUUCAACAAUGUAGCUACAUUUAUCCUGACGAGUCGCUCAAGGCAAGAAGACCCAGAGACAGUAAGACUGAAACAAAAAGCAAAGGAGGUGCCUGCUUGCUAGAAGUGGCAGCUGUGCCUGGCUAAUUGAGUUGCAGUAAAGCCAGUUGUCCAGAAACGAGCUACAAAUGCCCCUGGUCCUAAAGAAGAGAAUUUUUAUAGCACUUCCUUUAUUCUUUGGCCACAACUGAGCCCCCUCCAACUUGGCUUCACAUCUCAGCAAAGACCAGCCCCUCCUGGCCAUUCACGCAUGUGCCAGCUGGGCUUAGAGCCUGCUUGCAUGGAUCUUGAUGAGCUUGUCUGGUUGGCCCCUAUUUGUGAAAGAGAAGAAGCAGACCUUGUCCAAGACCGGCACUGAAUAAAAUACCACAGUCAGAAGAGAGGAAAAAACAAAGAGAAGAUGAUGUGAAGAUACGGGAAACAUGGAAGAGGCUCCCAUCCCUUAUAGGGAACCGAUACUGAUGACACCUUGAUUUUGAAUUUCUAGCCUUGGAAUUGGGAGAGAAUAAAUUUUCAUUAUUUUAAGCCACCCAGUUUGUGGAACUUUUUAAUGGUAGCCUUAGGUAACUAAUACACCUAGUACCAGACUCUUUACC